RNAcentral lists this long non-coding RNA (667 nucleotides) under Marmota monax (woodchuck). The record is from RNAcentral. Lineage: Eukaryota; Metazoa; Chordata; Mammalia; Rodentia; Sciuridae.
GUCCUUUCCCCAGCUGCUGCCCACCUGGUGGAGUCCACCAAGGCCUGGCUCUCCUCCCGCGGCCAUGAGGGUGGCCUCCUGUGUGCUUCCACUACUCAGAGCAGAGGGAGGUCAGCUCCCAGGGCUGCUGAGGUGUGCUGCGUUCUCUUGGCCUCCCCGUGUCCCCAGUCCUGCCUUCAAGGCAGCACUGACUGGGAAUGGCAGAGACACGGAUCUCAGUGCGACGGCUCAGUUGUGUGAGUCUCAGGACUCGACGUCUGGCAUUGGCUGGAAGCGUGGGACCCGUCUUCUUGUUUUGUGGUUCUGAGGAUACCACCCAGGGGUAACCCUGAGCCACAUCCCCAGAGCUUUUCAUUGUUUCUUUUGGGACAGGGUCUCGCUAAGUUGCUUAGUGUUUUACUAAGCUGACGAGGCUGGCUUCAAACUUGCAAUCCUCCCUUGUCAGCCUCCUGCGCCCCUGGGAUUACAGGUGUGGGCCACAGCACCUGGCUUGGACCUGUCUUCUUGACCCUCUAAGGGUCUCUGCUGUUCCAGGGAGCAUCCCAAGCAGAGUUAAUCUAUCUGUCCAUCCAUCGUCCAUCUCCCUCCUCCCUCCCUCUAUGUCCAUCAGUCCACCUUCCUUGUCCCCAUCCUCCCAAGGGCAUGCUGACUGACAACUCUGAGAAGC